RNAcentral lists this ribosomal RNA (250 nucleotides) under uncultured prokaryote. RNAcentral describes it as "partial 16S ribosomal RNA". It matches the Rfam family "Bacterial small subunit ribosomal RNA", at positions 524 to 773 of the family's 1533-position model. The record is from RNAcentral.
UACGUAGGUGGCAAGCGUUGUCCGGAAUUACUGGGUGUAAAGGGAGCGCAGGCGGGGAAACAAGUCAGCUGUGGAAUACGUGGGCUUAACCGACGAACUGCAGUUGAAACUGUUUUUCUUGAGUGAAGUAGAGGUUGGCGGAACUCCGAGUGUAGCGGUGAAAUGCGUAGAUAUUCGGAGGAACACCGGUGGCGAAGGCGGCCAACUGGGCUUUUACUGACGCUGAGGCUCGAAAGUGUGGGGAGCAAAC